CUGAGCAGGCUGCCAGUUCCUGGUGUAGGCGACGUGGCCAUGGCUACUGUCAAGAAGGGCAAGCCUGAGCUCAGGAAGAAUGUGCACCUGGCAGUGGUAAUUCGGCAGCGGAAAUCGUACCGGAGAAAAGACGGGGUGUUCCUCUAUUUUGAAGACAAUGCAGGAGUGAUAGUAAAUAACAAAGGGGAAAUAAAAGUCUCAGCAAUCACAGGCCCUGUGGCUAAGGAAUGCGCAGAUCUGUGGACCAGGAUAGCCUCCAAUGCUGGCAGCAUUUCAUAAACCUGCUCCAUCCUCGUUAAAAUAAAAGAAUAGUGGUUGCACCA
Molecule: long non-coding RNA, 323 nt
Organism: Dermochelys coriacea (leatherback sea turtle)
Lineage: Eukaryota; Metazoa; Chordata; Testudines; Dermochelyidae
Exons: 3
Source: RefSeq, a predicted model, not a curated record